This is a long non-coding RNA of Heterocephalus glaber (naked mole-rat), 567 nucleotides long. RefSeq lists it as uncharacterized. The record is from RefSeq and is a predicted model, not a curated record. Lineage: Eukaryota; Metazoa; Chordata; Mammalia; Rodentia; Bathyergidae.
UGCAAGAUUAUAGAAGUCAUUUUAUACGUGAAUAUAUCUCUAGAAGUAUAUUAUAUAACAUGAAUGUCCACUAAAACAUUUUAAUGAAUAUUUUGGUGAUCAGAAUAGUGAAGUGGUAUAUUCUGGGUGUUUAUAUCUAGUUUCAUACCUUCUCCAGACUCUCUUCAAGGAAGCCUGUUCUUUUCAGAAGCAUCGUUUGCAUGGACUCUUUAAUAGAUGAGAAUGAUGAUUUUUUUUUUAAUAUGGUACUAGGCAGAGCCACAAGCACCAGUCAGUUCUAAAGAGCCAACUGAAACACAAAGUUAUAAUUGCUAGCUUGUGUGAAGACAUGCUUUUCUCCUUCCAUUCUUGUUUACAGUUACCUGAACCAAUGUCACUUUCAGAUGCGCAGGACAAUGCUGACUAUAGAUUAUUUCAGAAAAUACUCAAAUUGCGUCGUUUGCCAUUUCCCUUUUGCACUACAUAAAGCAAAACUUUUGAGGGUGAAAGGAAGUUUUUCUGUCUGCCCUGAUCCAUUUUAGACCAUCAAAUUCUGCUGGAGCCAGCCUAGACCUGAAAAGCCUCCCA